RNAcentral lists this transfer RNA (87 nucleotides) under Escherichia coli. Its description in RNAcentral is "tRNA-Ser". It matches the Rfam family "tRNA". Rfam says of the family: Transfer RNA (tRNA) molecules are approximately 80 nucleotides in length. Their secondary structure includes four short double-helical elements and three loops (D, anti-codon, and T loops). Further hydrogen bonds mediate the characteristic L-shaped molecular structure. tRNAs have two regions of fundamental functional importance: the anti-codon, which is responsible for specific mRNA codon recognition, and the 3' end, to which the tRNAs corresponding amino acid is attached (by aminoacyl-tRNA synthetases). tRNAs cope with the degeneracy of the genetic code in two manners: having more than one tRNA (with a specific anti-codon) for a particular amino acid; and 'wobble' base-pairing, i.e. permitting non-standard base-pairing at the 3rd anti-codon position. Lineage: Bacteria; Pseudomonadati; Pseudomonadota; Gammaproteobacteria; Enterobacterales; Enterobacteriaceae. The record is from RNAcentral.
GGUGAGGUGUCCGAGUGCUGAAGGAGCACGCCUGGAAAGUGUGUAUACGGCAACGUAUCGGGGGUUCGAAUCCCCCCCUCACCGCCA